ACGGAGGGUGCGAGCGUUGUUCGGAAUCACUGGGCGUAAAGGGCGCGCAGGCGGUUUCAUAAGUCAGAUGUGAAAGCCCACGGCUUAACCGUGGAAGUGCAUUUGAAACUGUGAGACUUGAGUACCAGAGGGGAAGGUGGAAUUCCCGGUGUAGAGGUGAAAUUCGUAGAUAUCGGGAGGAAUACCGGUGGCGAAGGCGACUUUCUGGCUGGAUACUGACGCUGAGGCGCGAAAGCGUGGGGAGCAAACAGG
RNAcentral lists this ribosomal RNA (252 nucleotides) under uncultured bacterium. RNAcentral describes it as "partial 16S ribosomal RNA". It matches the Rfam family "Bacterial small subunit ribosomal RNA", at positions 525 to 776 of the family's 1533-position model. The record is from RNAcentral.